This 253-nucleotide ribosomal RNA is filed under the name uncultured bacterium. RNAcentral describes it as "partial 16S ribosomal RNA". It matches the Rfam family "Bacterial small subunit ribosomal RNA", at positions 524 to 776 of the family's 1533-position model. The record is from RNAcentral.
UACGUAGGGGGCAAGCGUUGUCCGGAAUCAUUGGGCGUAAAGCGCGUGUAGGCGGUUACGUAAGUCUGCUGUGAAAGUCGGAGGCUCAACCUUCGAAAGCCGGUGGAUACUGCGUGACUAGAGUACGGAAGAGGAGAGUGGAAUUCCUGGUGUAGCGGUGAAAUGCGCAGAUAUCAGGAGGAACACCAAUGGCGAAGGCAGCUCACUGGGACGGUAUUGACGCUGAGACGCGAAAGCGUGGGGAGCAAACAGG